This is a long non-coding RNA of Alosa sapidissima (American shad), 627 nucleotides long. RefSeq lists it as uncharacterized. The record is from RefSeq and is a predicted model, not a curated record. The transcript has 2 exons. NCBI's taxonomy places the organism in Eukaryota, Metazoa, Chordata, Actinopteri, Clupeiformes, Clupeidae.
GGCCUUUUUGUGAAUUAUUUAUAAAAGGUAGGCCUACAUAAAUGUUCCAGAAAGGGUAAGCCUACAUGUUGCUAUGUUUGGGGCUAAAGUUAUUUUUAACCAAUACCCAGAUAGCAAGGUGACAUUGAUAUAAUGUUGAUUUUCCAUCCAAAUCAUCAUUUUGGUUGAGAUUGAAAUCUCAAUGGUAAAUAGACAUUGAAUCAGCAUUACAAUCCUGACAAAACCCCGACAGUGCAUGAGCAUAGAUAGAGAGACAUCGAAACAACAUUGGUUUAUAGUUUAUAUUGCCAUAAUCGAUAGAGCAUCGAUACAUAGUUCAGUAAAAGAUAUUGAAAAGUCAUGGACAUUUUGACGUGGUGAUUGAAAAGUAGUGGAUUUUUAGUUGACUGCGCGACGACGUUUGAACUGUCCGGCGGGAGAUCAUUUUGAGCAACGGAUCAGUCAGACCAACCGUGUUCAGCUCUCUGUCAAGUUCGCCGCUUCACCUUAAUGGUGCCGCUUCACUCAACUGGAUGGUCAGGCUGACUGCAACCGUAGGCCUACUGAAUAGAUGGCAGGGAAGCACAGCACACGGGAAUUUAUAAAUGAAGAAGAGUGAAUAAAUGCACUUGCUUUUCAAACUGAUAA